This 424-nucleotide ribosomal RNA is filed under the name uncultured bacterium. RNAcentral describes it as "bacterial SSU rRNA". It matches the Rfam family "Bacterial small subunit ribosomal RNA", at positions 361 to 776 of the family's 1533-position model. The record is from RNAcentral.
AUCUUGCGCAAUGGCCGAAAGGCUGACGCAGCGACGCCGCGUGCGGGAGGACGCCCUUCGGGGUGUAAACCGCUGUCAGCGGGGACGAACCCUCUGGAGAGGAAAUGCUUCAGAGCUGACGGUACCCGCAGAGGAAGCACCGGCUAACUCCGUGCCAGCAGUCGCGGUAAUACGGAGGGUGCGAGCGUUGUUCGGAAUUAUUGGGCGUAAAGCGCACGUAGGUGGCUCCUUAAGUCUCACGGUGAAAGGCCGGGGCUCAACCCCGCGCUGGCCGGGGAUACUGGGGAGCUAGAGACAGGUAGAGGCGAGUGGAAUUCCGGGUGUAGCGGUGGAAUGCGUAGAGAUCCGGAAGAACACCAGAGGCGAAGGCGGCUCGCUGGCCCUGAUCUGACACUGAGGUGCGAAAGCGUGGGGAGCGAACAGG